AUACGUAGGUGCCAAGCGUUAUCCGGAUUUACUGGGCGUAAAGGGCGUGUAGGCGGUCUUGCAAGUCAGAAGUGAAAUUCCUGAGCUCAACUCGGGCGCUGCUUCUGAAACUGCAGGACUUGAGUGCUGGAGGGGAUAGCGGAAUUCCUAGUGGAGCGGUAAAAUGCGCAGAUAUUAGGAAGAACACCGGUGGCGAAGGCGGCUAUCUGGACAGUAACUGACGCUGAGGCGCGAAAGCGUGGGGAGCAAACAGGAUUAGAUCCCCUGGUAGUCCACGCCGUAAACGAUGAAUACUAGGUGUAGGGGGUAUCGACUCCCUCUGUGCCGCAGUUAACACAAUAAGUAUUCCGCCUGGGGAGUACGGCCGCAAGGUUGAAACUCAAAUGAAUUGACGGGG
This 397-nucleotide ribosomal RNA is filed under the name uncultured bacterium. Its description in RNAcentral is "partial 16S ribosomal RNA". It matches the Rfam family "Bacterial small subunit ribosomal RNA", at positions 523 to 918 of the family's 1533-position model. The record is from RNAcentral.